Molecule: ribosomal RNA, 252 nt
Filed under: uncultured Bacteroidales bacterium
Lineage: Bacteria; Pseudomonadati; Bacteroidota; Bacteroidia; Bacteroidales
Description: partial 16S ribosomal RNA
Rfam family: Bacterial small subunit ribosomal RNA
Source: RNAcentral
UACGGAGGAUCCGAGCGUUAUCCGGAUUUAUUGGGUUUAAAGGGUGCGUAGGCGGAGUGUCAAGUCAGCGGUAAAAUUUCGGGGCUCAACCCCGUCGUGCCGUUGAAACUGACACCCUUGAGUGAGUGAGAAGUAAGCGGAAUGCGUGGUGUAGCGGUGAAAUGCUUAGAUAUCAUGAAGAACUCCGAUCGCGAAGGCAAGUGUCCGGGGUGCAACUGACGCUGAGGCUCGAAAGUGCGGGUAUCAAACAGG